UGGGGGAUAUUGCACAAUGGGGGGAAACCCCGUGAUGCAGCGACGCCGCGUGGGUGAGGAAGUAUUUCGGUAUGUAAAGCCCUAUCAGCAGGGAAGAAGAUGACAGUACCUGACUAAGAAGCCCCGGCUAACUACGUGCC
This 140-nucleotide ribosomal RNA is filed under the name uncultured bacterium. RNAcentral describes it as "partial 16S ribosomal RNA". It matches the Rfam family "Bacterial small subunit ribosomal RNA", at positions 355 to 509 of the family's 1533-position model. The record is from RNAcentral.